Salvelinus sp. IW2-2015 is the source of this 2828-nucleotide long non-coding RNA. RefSeq lists it as uncharacterized. NCBI's taxonomy places the organism in Eukaryota, Metazoa, Chordata, Actinopteri, Salmoniformes, Salmonidae. The record is from RefSeq and is a predicted model, not a curated record.
AAUAAAUUUGACAUUCCAACCUUGGACUUAAAAGUCUACGAUGAAUCGAAGACUGAAGUUGAUGAGGGGUUUGAGUUUCUUCUAAAGAAACAAGACCUUGGUGUGCUGGAGAUUUGUUUACCCCAAGACCCAAAUCCUGAUGAUUCGUUGAGCUCCUCUGCAAGCAGCUCCUUAUCAAAAUACAGUGGAGACAAUGAGGGGGACUCCAUUAUAUUGCAGCAGAGUCCUGCUACAAGAAAGAAAGCGGAGGAUAAUCGUCUAUCUCAUAUGACUGAAGACAUUCUGAACAACAAACCUGGAGGUGAGAGGAUCAUGGAUGCGUAUGUACGGACAAAAAGCCUAASAGAUAGCCGAAGACGCGAUAUGGUCAAGAUAUUGGUUGCACAAAUAACAAGUGAACAUGGGACAAGUUCUUCAAGCCGUGUUAAAGAGGACUACGCAAAGGGCAUCAUUGCCUUGAUCCCAUAUCUGGCCGAUCCUGGGAGCAAGUUUGGUUAUGAUGGGACAGUGACAUGUCCUCCAUUUUGGUCCUUGUCCACCGUCACCUCAUGGCCCCAAGAGACCAGGAAAAAUCUCAGCCAGACACGCCAGUGACCACAUUGUGAAGUUUAUCAAGACUGGGACCAGCAUCCAGGGGCAUCUGGAGAGCAUCAUGGAAAGCCUUCAACCCUAUCUGCUUGCUGUGGGGACCCAGAGGAGUGUGAUUGACAAACAUGCAAUACCUUGUAAGUCACCAGACUCCCUUGCCUGUUUUGAUGAGCUCUUCAAAGCUCAUUUUGUCUUUGGUACUUCGUACAACCAGGAUCUGGAAAAUGUGUACAACUUCUUGCAAACCACAAUUCAUGAAAUUGAUGUUGACACCGCUAAGGUUAAUCCUAGGGUUGCAGAGUUGAGGUCUCGGAUGCUUCAUUGAGUUACUAAAUGUUUUGAAGUUGCAAAGGGUUAAAACGCAGCAUAGGAAAUAACCUUUUUCAUUUCACACAACAUUUUUCAUAUCAUUCAUCUAAAAUGUUGUGUUUUGCUUGCAAAAGCCCCCAGGGAAAUGCUAAUUCCUUGACAAAACACUUGMAGUUGGUCCACAGACUUUGUCCAGGAAAGACACUUGGUCUUAAAUGCGGUCAGGCUGGUUGUUCACAAGUUUAUGUCACUUUUUCUGGGUUCAGAAAGCAUCUUUGUAAAGCACAUGAACCUUGUUCUGAUCAKGGUGAAGGCCCCUCUACAGCUGAAUAUGUAAGUCAUGACUUGUCAUCAACAAGUUCCCCUUCUGACUCAGUCCUUGUCAAUAAGAGACUUGUAGACAGCUGCGCUGCAACCAUAGCUGAACUUAGUGGCAGGUGUAGGUGAAACAACCAUUAACUCUUUAGUCAUUUCCAUGGAAGAGAUAGUUGAUGAUAUUCAUAUUCAAGCUAAAGAAUCUGUGAAGAAGUGUCUGUCUAUACAGGAGCCUAUUAAAAGUGACAUUGAGURUAAAAUUGAUCAGUGUUUUGAAAAAAAUAGAAAAUCCUUUUCGGUGUAUUAAAUUCUGAAAGUAAGAGAAGRCAGUAUUUUACAGAAGAGUGGGGAAUGGUAGACACAGUUGAAUACGUUCUUGGUACAAGAUUUGAUACACGACGCAAUCGGACUACUGGAGGCUAUGAUCAAAUUGUUGUUACUGGUGAAUUUGUUUACAUCCCAUUUUUGAAAACAUUACAGUUUAUUUACAAUCACCCUGAUAUAAAGAAGAUGAUGCAGACGGAUUCCAGUUCAAGAGAACUUUAUGACUAAUGUGAUGGAGAUCUGUUCCAAGAGCCACGCUCUAUUUUCAGAACAGAAGCAAAUCAGAUACAGCUUCUCUCUGAUUUUGAAACUGCAAAUCCUCUUGGAUCAAAACGGGGAAUAGAUAAAUUAGGAGCAAUCUAUUUCACCUUAUGUAAUUUUUCUCCAAUGUUCAACUCAUUUCCGCUUAAUAUUCAUUUGGUUGCUUUAUGUCAUGCCCAAGACGUUAAAACAUACGGCUUUUCUAAAAUACUUGAUCCAAUUGUGCAGGAUAUUAAAGUACUUGAGAGGGAUGGAAUUAUGUUCCCCUUGUAUGAUCAACCAGUGUAUGGAACUAUUGUCCACGUUACAGGUGACAACCUUGGUCUUCACUGUCUAUUUGGUUUUGUUGAAUCAUUCAGUGCCAGAUAUUGUUGCCGCUUUUGUCUUGCUGAGAAAGAGGACUUUCAGACUGAAUUUGAUGAAGAUUCACCCAAGAUAGUUAUGCGAACUCGAGCACUGCAGAACACUGGUAAAAAAAGAUUUGUCUUCCCUAUGUGAUGGGUGUUAAACGUUCUUGCAUUCUAAACUCCGUGCAGUACUUCAAUACAUGUGAAAACYUCUCUGUCGAUAUUAUGCAUGAUAUCUUGGAGGGAAGUGGCACAAUAUGAAAUGRAACUGCUAAUACUGCACUUGAUAGACAAGUACACAACAUCAAAUGAAAUAGACAGCAGAAUAAAAAGCUUUAACUAUGGUUACAUGGAGCAAAACAACAAACCUCCGGCAGUGAAGUGAGGAGAGGACUCUAAUGACUUGGGGUUAAAUGCUAUUCAGUCCUGGUGUUUAGUUCCCAAUCUACCACUUAUCUUUGGAGACUUAGUUUGUCCAAAUGAUCUACACUGGUAUUUACUGUUGCUUCAGAUAGUAAACAUWGUAUUUUCUCCAAUGAUAUCAAAGGGUAAUACAAUUUAUUUGAAACACUUAAUCGCAGAACACCACAGGUUAUUCAAGCAACUGUUUCCAAAAAAAAGAGGCUGCUACCGAACCAUAAUUUUAUGGUGCAUUACCCCACAUGUAUGCUUAAAAUUGGACCA